Molecule: long non-coding RNA, 583 nt
Filed under: Dromaius novaehollandiae (emu)
Lineage: Eukaryota; Metazoa; Chordata; Aves; Casuariiformes; Dromaiidae
Description: lncRNA (ENSDNVG00000014513.1)
Source: RNAcentral
GCACAUGGCCCCGCGCCGCCAUGAUGAGAGCGCAGAACCGCAGUGCGCAGCCGCCGGCCGGGGCCGGGGCCGGGGCCGGCCCGGGGGCGGGGGUAAAGGGGCCGGGCCGGGCGCUACCCGCCCCUCCCCGCCGCGACAUGGCGGCGCGGCCCGCCGAGCCGCCGCUCCUCCUCUUCCCGCUCCGAGUAGGGGGGCCGCGCCCGCCGUAUCGCCGCAGGUGGACGUCGGGCUCCUCCGCAGCYGCGCGCUCACGUUGCGGGGCCUGGCUGGACGAGUGACGCCUCGCCGGGGACAGGCAGGGCCCCUGCUGCUGCCUGGGACGCUGGAGGACGAGCUUUGUACCACACCCUUCCAACAUGUUCUGCAGCCACCAAGCGCGGUGCCUCGAAGUCCUGACUCUUCCAAUGGUUCCUGCAAAAUUCCCUGCARAGCCCAUGUUACAAAUAUGAUAUCGUGGUUUAGCUUGUGAGAAAAUGGAAAACCUGCCUUCUUUUUCUUUUUUUUUUUGUUUGGAAUUUUAAGAACAAUCUAGCAGAUUCUGAGACCAUAAUAAAGAUAUUGGGCUUUUUCCUUUGUAAAUACA